Long non-coding RNA from Rhincodon typus (whale shark), 203 nucleotides. RefSeq lists it as uncharacterized. The record is from RefSeq and is a predicted model, not a curated record. Lineage: Eukaryota; Metazoa; Chordata; Chondrichthyes; Orectolobiformes; Rhincodontidae. The transcript has 3 exons.
GCCAAAUAGCUAUAACCAAGAACAACUUUAAAACAGAAAUUGACAAGGUUCAUCAUGAGCAUCAAAGGUAUUUAUGAAUGCUGGCAGUUGGUGGAUGUAAUGAGUGGCAAGCUACAGGGGAUCAAAGCUGGGACUUCAACUGUUCACAAUUUAUUUAAAUAACUGAAUGAAGAGAAGGAAAAUAUGUUGCCAAAACUGCUGAU